RNAcentral lists this ribosomal RNA (484 nucleotides) under uncultured Bacteroidota bacterium. Its description in RNAcentral is "bacterial SSU rRNA". It matches the Rfam family "Bacterial small subunit ribosomal RNA", at positions 514 to 999 of the family's 1533-position model. Lineage: Bacteria; Pseudomonadati; Bacteroidota. The record is from RNAcentral.
GCCGCGGUAAUACGGAGGGUGCGAGCGUUAUCCGGAGUUAUUAGGUUUAAAGGGUGCGUAGGCGGUUAAUCAAGUCAGGCGGUGAAAGUCAUUGGCUUAACCAAUGAAUUGCCGGUGAAACUGGUUAACUUGAGUUAAGUUGAGGCAGGCGGAAUGCGUAGUGUAGCGGUGAAAUGCAUAGAUAUUACGCAGACCCCCGAUUGCGAAGGCAGCUUGCUGGACUUUAACUGACGCUGAUGCACGAAAGCCUGGGGAGCGAACAGGAUUAGAUACCCUGGUAGUCCAGGCAGUAAACGAUGAUCACUGGUUAUUGGCGAUAUAGUGUCAGUGACUGAGCGAAAGCAUUAAGUGAUCCCCCUGGGGAGUACGUUGGCAACGAUGAAACUCAAAGGAAUUGACGGGGGCCCGCACAAGCGGAGGAACAUGUGGUUUAAUUCGAUGAUACGCGAGGAACCUUACCUGGGCUUGAACUGUAGGUGAUGUA